This 253-nucleotide ribosomal RNA is filed under the name uncultured bacterium. Its description in RNAcentral is "partial 16S ribosomal RNA". It matches the Rfam family "Archaeal small subunit ribosomal RNA", at positions 474 to 727 of the family's 1478-position model. The record is from RNAcentral.
UACCAGCACCCCGAGUGGUCGGGGCGAUUAUUGGGCCUAAAGCAUCCGUAGCCGGUUCUACAAGUCUUCCGUUAAAUCCACCUGCUUAACAGAUGGGCUGCGGAGGAUACUACAAGGCUAGGAGGCGGAAGAGGCAAGCGGUACUCAGUGGGUAGGGGUAAAAUCCUCUGAUCCAUUGAAGACCACCAGUGGCGAAGGCGGCUUGCCAAUACGCGCUCGACGGUGAGGGAUGAAAGCUGGGGGAGCAAACCGG